Molecule: non-coding RNA, 84 nt
Organism: Ceratobasidium sp. AG-Ba
Lineage: Eukaryota; Fungi; Basidiomycota; Agaricomycetes; Cantharellales; Ceratobasidiaceae
Source: the annotation of a GenBank genome assembly
GACCUCUUAGCUCAGUGGUAGAGCGUGAGAUUCCAGUUUGUUGGCACUUCCUCAAGGUCAUCCGUUCAACUCGGGUAGGGGUCA